ACGUAGGGAGCAAGCGUUAUCCGGAUUUAUUGGGUGUAAAGGGUGCGUAGACGGGAGAUUAAGUUAGUUGUGAAAGCCCUCGGCUUAACUGAGGAAUUGCAACUAAAACUGGUUUUCUUGAGUGCAGGAGAGGUAAGUGGAAUUCCUAGUGUAGCGGUGAAAUGCGUAGAUAUUAGGAGGAACACCAGUGGCGAAGGCGACUUACUGGACUGUAACUGACGUUGAGGCACGAAAGUGUGGGGAGCAAACAG
This 251-nucleotide ribosomal RNA is filed under the name uncultured bacterium. Its description in RNAcentral is "partial 16S ribosomal RNA". It matches the Rfam family "Bacterial small subunit ribosomal RNA", at positions 525 to 775 of the family's 1533-position model. The record is from RNAcentral.